RNAcentral lists this transfer RNA (92 nucleotides) under Sus scrofa (pig). It matches the Rfam family "tRNA". Rfam says of the family: Transfer RNA (tRNA) molecules are approximately 80 nucleotides in length. Their secondary structure includes four short double-helical elements and three loops (D, anti-codon, and T loops). Lineage: Eukaryota; Metazoa; Chordata; Mammalia; Artiodactyla; Suidae. The record is from Rfam by way of RNAcentral.
UCCUUGGUGGCUCAGUGGGUUAAAGUUCCAGCAUUGUCACUGCUGUGGCUCUGGUUACUGCUGUGGCCUGGGUUUGAACCCCAGCUGGGGAA